UCUUCCAUCUCUGGAUCCUGAAUCUACAGCUCUCUAAUCUGCAAAUACACGCAGUAGCGAUAGGUACAAUUGCAUGGUUGUGACUGCCGACCAGUACACGAGUGGGGCUGCCGUUCUCCUACCGGUAAUCAGCUGCUCCAGUGCCACCGCAUAUAUACUCCGAUGAGUAUCCUUGAUAUCUUCCCUCCACAUUGCAUCUAAUGACACACUAACACAUUGCAUCUGAUGACACACUUCCAACUGGAAUAUAUCAAUUACAUACCACGGUGAAAUUUGAAACUUCCCUUGAGAGAUGCUAAAGUACUAUUUAUUUGACCGGCUUGGUGUACAUUGACCUUUACCGCCUGAAUGUUAUGAAUUAUAUUCGUGGUGGAUGAUAUGAAUGUCGGGGAGGUGAUGGAGAAGUAUGACGAGGAACUUGUGAAGGCUGAGGGCAUGGAGAAGAAGGGGAGAAUCUAAGUGGAAGGCUGACAUUGGCGAAGGAGAAGGCUAGAUGAGUGUUGGCAUUGGCAGACAACGGGUCAUUGCAGAUGGCAUUCACUGAAUUAUUCAAGGAAUUGAAGCUCCCAAAAUGAUCAAAUAAAUAAGAUAGCAAUGAGACAUAGAAUGUCGUGUUAUUAAUUAUCUUUGUCCUCAAAAAGGAUGUCGUGAUAGUAGUCGUGCUUUGCAUAUAAGUUGCUUCAACAACUAUAUUCUUGAAAUGAUGUGCCAUAGGUAGGUGGAAAAACUAAGAAAUACAAGCAUUACUCUGUGUGUGUGAGAGAGUGCUCUACACGCUGCCUUUAUGGAUUAAACCGGUGCUCUAAUUAAAUGAUAA
Triticum aestivum (bread wheat) is the source of this 817-nucleotide long non-coding RNA. RefSeq lists it as uncharacterized. The record is from RefSeq and is a predicted model, not a curated record. NCBI's taxonomy places the organism in Eukaryota, Viridiplantae, Streptophyta, Magnoliopsida, Poales, Poaceae. The transcript has 2 exons.